AACUGAUACUACCUGCGGGAACCUGCGGAGGGAUCAUUACUGAGUGAGGGCCCUCUGGGUCCAACCUCCCACCCGUGUUUAACGAACCUUGUUGCUUCGGCGGGCCCGCCUCACGGCCGCCGGGGGGCAUCCGCCCCCGGGCCCGCGCCCGCCGAAGACACCUGUGAACUCUGUCUGAAGUUGCAGUCUGAGAAACUAUUUAAAUUAGUUAAAACUUUCAACAACGGAUCUCUAGAUCGG
RNAcentral lists this unclassified non-coding RNA (240 nucleotides) under soil metagenome. RNAcentral describes it as "partial contains 5.8S ribosomal RNA, internal transcribed spacer 2, and large subunit ribosomal RNA". The record is from RNAcentral.